This 497-nucleotide ribosomal RNA is filed under the name uncultured bacterium. RNAcentral describes it as "partial 16S ribosomal RNA". It matches the Rfam family "Bacterial small subunit ribosomal RNA", at positions 28 to 507 of the family's 1533-position model. The record is from RNAcentral.
GAUGAACGCUGGCGGCGUGCCUAAUACAUGCAAGUCGAGCGAACGGACGAGAAGCUUGCUUCUCUGAUGUUAGCGCCGGACGGGUGAGUAACACGUGGAUAACCUACCUAUAAGACUGGGAUAACUUCGGGAAACCGUAGCUAAUACCGGAUAAUAUUUUGAACCGCAUGGUUCAAAAGUGAAAGACGGUCUUGCUGUCACUUAUAGAUGGAUCCGCGCUGCAUUAGCUAGUUGGUAAGGUAACGGCUUACCAAGGCAACGAUGCAUAGCCGACCUGAGAGGGUGAUCGGCCACACUGGAACUGAGACACGGUCCAGACUCCUACGGGAGGCAGCAGUAGGGAAUCUUCCGCAAUGGGCGAAAGCCUGACGGAGCAACGCCGCGUGAGUGAUGAAGGUCUUCGGAUCGUAAAACUCUGUUAUUAGGGAAGAACAUAUGUGUAAGUAACUGUGCACAUCUUGACGGUACCUAAUCAGAAAGCCACGGCUAACUACGUG